This 495-nucleotide ribosomal RNA is filed under the name uncultured bacterium. Its description in RNAcentral is "partial 16S ribosomal RNA". It matches the Rfam family "Bacterial small subunit ribosomal RNA", at positions 28 to 507 of the family's 1533-position model. The record is from RNAcentral.
GACGAACGCUGGCGGCGUGCUUAAUACAUGCAAGUCGAACGGAGAGGGCGGAGUUUGCUUGUCUGCAUGAGUUGCGAACGGGUGAGUAACGCGUGGGUAACCUGCCUGGUAGUGGGGGAUAACUAUUGGAAACGGGAGCUAAUACCGCAUAAUAGUAGAUGUUGCAUGGCAUUUGCUUAAAAGGUGCAGUUGCAGCACUACCACAUGGAGCUGCGUUGUAUUUGCUUGUUGGUGGGGUAACGGAUCACUAAGGCGAGGAUACAUAGCCGACGGGAGAGGGGGAUCGGCCGCCCUGGGAGGGUGACAGGCCCCAUAGGCCUACGGGAGGGAGCAGUAUGGAAACGGCGGCAAGCGACGGGAGUCUGACCGAACAGCGCGGCGUGAGUGAAGAAGGUUUUCGGAUCGUAAAGAUCGGUUUUAGGAGAAGAACGAGUGUGAGAGUGGAAAGUGCACUGUGUGACGGUAGUGGACCAGAAAGCAACGGCUAACUACGUG